GAAAAUGCUACGGCCUGCCACGACCACCUGGGCUGCGUCACGGCACACACUGAUGGCAUUGGCGGGAGCGUCCAGGUGGCAAUGCAUGGUGCGACCCGUCAGCACGCUGCCACCCAGGGCUGUGGUCACACGGGACAUCUUCUCCAUGGCUGCACAGGUUCAUCAUGACGUCUGGUCAUCCCUCGACAGGUUCCGAGCUUCCCCUCCUUCCUCACUCCUGCGACCUCAGGAGCAGCCUCCCAACAGCUUUCCUGGGUCCGUCGUUCCCCUCUGAUCUGAAACCCGCACGGAAGUCAGGUACCAGGUCUUCUGCCUGAGGCCUCUGGCAGCUCCCACUCUGCUGUGAAUGAACCCCCAACACCUGGCCUCUGCCUUCCCCUGUGUACCUCCAGCCACAGCAACUUCCACCCCCAUUCCCAGCCCACCAAGCCCUUUCCUGUCUCGGGGACAUUGCGCAUGCGAUGCCUCCUCCACAGAGAGGACCUCCCUGACCACUGUCCUAAUGGGCCUUUCCAUCACUGUGGCCUCCACGGCACUUGUCACCACCCAUUCGUUUGUUUACUGGUUGUUGGUCA
Macaca mulatta (Rhesus monkey) is the source of this 575-nucleotide non-coding RNA. NCBI's taxonomy places the organism in Eukaryota, Metazoa, Chordata, Mammalia, Primates, Cercopithecidae. The record is from RefSeq and is a predicted model, not a curated record.